AACGAACGCUGGCGGCAGGCCUAAUACAUGCAAGUCGAACGCACCGCAAGGUGAGUGGCAGACGGGUGAGUAACGCGUGGGAACCUUCCUAGUAGUACGGAAUAACUCCGGGAAACCGGUGCUAAUACCGUAUAAGCCCGUCCGGGGGAAAGAUUUAUCGCUACUAGAUGGGCCCGCGUCGGAUUAGCUUGUUGGUGAGGUAAUGGCUCACCAAGGCUUCGAUCCGUAGCUGGUCUGAGAGGAUGAUCAGCCACACUGGGACUGAGACACCGGCCCAGACUCCGUACGGGAGGCAGCAGGUAGGGAAUAUUGGACAAGUGGGCGCAAGCCUGAUCCAGCCAU
RNAcentral lists this ribosomal RNA (342 nucleotides) under uncultured bacterium. RNAcentral's name for it is "bacterial SSU rRNA". It matches the Rfam family "Bacterial small subunit ribosomal RNA", at positions 29 to 395 of the family's 1533-position model. The record is from RNAcentral.